UUUGGUACUGGGGAUUGAACUUGGGGCCCUGAACCACUGAGCCACAUCCCCAGGCCUAAUUUGUAUUUUAUUUAGAGACAGGGUCUCACUGAGUUGUUUAGCAUCUCACUAUUGCGGAGGCUGGCUUUGAACUCACAAUCCUCCUGCCUCUGUCUCCUGAGCCGCUGGGAUUACAGUUACAGGCAUGCACUACUGCAUGAGGCUUGUCUCUCUCCUUUACUCUUGUAUUAUAACUGGGUAUAGAAUUCUAAAUUCAGAUUUAUUUUUCCUCAGUGAUUCCUUAGCCUCUAAAUGCUGCUUUUGAAAAAUCUAGGGGUUGGGGUAUAGUUCAGUGAUAAAAAGCAUACUUAACAAGUGAGGGGGCCCUGGUUUUAAUGUACAGCACCAAAAAAAUGAAAAAGAGUCUGUUAUUAGCCCUAUUAAUAGUCUGUCUUUUCUGUAUGACCAGUUUUAAGAUUAUCCCUUACAAAAACAAAGCAAAAAAAAAAAAGAUUAUUCUCUUAUCUUUAUUUUGCAAAACCCUCAAAAGCAGAAAAGUGUCCUGCCAUGUAUCUAUGAAUUUGUUUAUGUUAUUCCUAAUUAGGACAUUGUGCUUCUUUCUAGAUGUUAUUUUUAUUUUAAUUUUUAGAUCUUUAUUAUAACUUACUACUUCUUUUAUAUUUGUCAUACUUUCCUGUCUCCUUGAGUUGCGUGUUUAGAGCUUAUUAUUUUAGUCUCUCUUGUUUUCUUAUAAAUGUGUUUCAGUGAGUUACAUUUCCUCUGCAUUCUCUGCCAGCAUCCUUUCCAGAAUACAGCUUGGAAAAAGUAUCCAAAGUCUUCAAAAUAUUUAUGCUGAUUGACUCAGAAAUUUCUUAGCUAAGAAUCUCUGUUAAGCAAUAAUCAGAUGCAAUGUAAAAAACGAAUACAUUAGCAUGUUACUUGUACUAUUAUUAUUGUUUUUUGUGGUACUGAGGAUUGAACUCAGGGGUGCUUUAUUGCUCAACUAUAUCCUCAGCCAUUUUUAAUUUUUUUUGAGACAGGAUCUUGCUAAGUUGCCAAGUCUGGCCUCAGACUUGUGAUCUUCCUGCCUCAUCCUCCAGAGUAACUGGCACUAUAGGUCUGCACCUUGGCAUCUGGCUUUAUUUUCCAAUUUUUAAUGGUACCCAUUCUAAUGGGAGUGAGUUACUAUCUCAUUGUAGGUUUGUUUUUUUGGUACCGGGGAUUGAACUCUAGGGCACUAAACCACUGAACCAUAUCCCUAGGCCUUUUUUGAAUUUUAGAGACAGGGUCUCACUGAGUUGCUUAGAGCCUCGCUAAAUUGCAGAGGCUGGCUCUAAACUCAACUAUCCUCCUGUCUCAGCCUUCCAAGCUGCUGGGAUUAUAGGCAUGCACCACCAUGCCCCGAACAUUCUAGUUUUGAUUUGCAUAUUCCUAAAUAUUACUGAUGUUGAGCACAUUUUUAUCUGCUUAUUAGUCACUUAUAUAACUUCUUCAGAGAAGCUCCUAUUUAAAUAUUUUGCCCAUUUUUAAAUUAGAUUACUGUUAUUGUGGGGUUUUAGGAGUUCCCUAUAUAAUGUGGAUAUUAAUCCCUUAUCAGAUAUAUGACUUGCAAAUAUAUUCUUUUAUCCCAUGGGUUGCCUUUUUAUUGAUAGUGCCUUUUUUUUUUUAAAAAAAGUAUUUUUUAAAUAUUGUUUAGUUGUCCAUGGAUCUUUAUUUAUUUGUAUGUGGUGCUGAGAAUCGAACCCUCACACAUGCUAGGCAAGCGCUCUACCACUGAGCCACAAUCCCAGCCCCUAUUGAUAGUAGUGCCUUUUGAUGCACAAAAAUUUUUACAUGAAUUCCAAUUUAUUUUUUUUAAAUAUAAAGUCAAAUCCUGUUUUUCUUCUUUUUUUGUAAUUUUUAAAAUUUGUUUUAAUUAGUUAUACACGACAGUGGAAUGCACUCUGACAUCAUACAUAAAUGGAAUAUAAUUUCUCAUUCUUCUGGUUGUACAUGAUGUAGAAUCACACUAGUCAUGUAGUCACAUAUGUACAUUGUCGGGAGCCACUCUGGACUGGAGCUUGUGUGUGUGGCGAACCAGCUAUGGGCUGUGUGUGUGAGCAUUUUGAGUGCACAAAGCAGACUGGACUGAUGGUGCUGCUCUGUCUGGGCUGUGAGCGUUGUGUCCCUUUGGCUUGCCCUGCCUUUGAUCCCCACACAGCACAUGAGAUGGGCAUGGCCUUCCAAGAUGUCAGUCAACCUGCUGACCUGCUAGACACCUUGAAGCUAGAUUCAACCCCCUGAAACCUGACUCCUGGCCUCAUUUGGAUGGCUUCUCUCCAAUAAAACCAGGUUCUAGGCAUGCUCUCUCUCUUUUCUUGCCUGCCUUGCCUCCGUUGUGGGAGCUGGCUCAGAGGGGCCAUCACAGAACCCAAAGAAAAAGGUAUUUCUCUGUCUGUGUGUCAUUAUUUUGGAUCAACCCAGUUCUCCUAGAGUGACCCUGACUGGUUUAGUCCUGUGUCGUGUCAGUACAUAGGGCAAUAAUGUCAGGUUCAUUCUAUUAUCUUUCCUACCCUCUAAACUUCCCCUCCCUUCACUCCCCUCUACCUGUCUAUUCCAAAGUAACUCUGUUCUUCCCUAGUGCCACCCCAUUUCGCUCCAUUGUGAAUUAGC
RNAcentral lists this long non-coding RNA (2631 nucleotides) under Marmota monax (woodchuck). Lineage: Eukaryota; Metazoa; Chordata; Mammalia; Rodentia; Sciuridae. The record is from RNAcentral.